AGACCCGAAACCCGGUGAUCUAGCCAUGGGCAGGUUGAAGGUUGGGUAACACUAACUGGAGGACCGAACCGACUAAUGUUGAAAAAUUAGCGGAUGACCUGUGGCUGGGGGUGAAAGGCCAAUCAAACCGGGAGAUAGCUGGUUCUCCCCGAAAGCUAUUUAGGUAGCGCCUCGUGAAUUCAUCUCCGGGGGUAGAGCACUGUUUCGGCUAGGGGGCCAUCCCGGCUUACCAACCCGAUGCAAACUGCGAAUACCGGAGAAUGUUAUCACGGGAGACACACGGCGGGUGCUAACGUCCGUCGUGAAGAGGGAAACAACCCAGACCGCCAGCUAAGGUCCCAAAGUCAUGGUUAAGUGGGAAACGAUGUGGGAAGGCCCAGACAGCCAGGAUGUUGGCUUAGAAGCAGCCAUCAUUUAAAGAAAGCGUAAUAGCUCACUGGUCGAGUCGGCCUGCGCGGAAGAUGUAACGGGGCUAAACCAUGCACCGAAGCUGCGGCAGCGAACGUAUCACCCAAGACAACUUUACGGAGUUGACGAUUGACGGAGCGAAGCGACGUCAAAGCGUUCAUUAAAGUCGAGUUGGCUUAGGGAUACGUUCGUUGGGUAGGGGAGCGUUCUGUAAGCCUGUGAAGGUGUGUCGUGAGGCAUGCUGGAGGUAUCAGAAGUGCGAAUGCUGACAUAAGUAACGAUAAAGCGGGUGAAAAGCCCGCUCGCCGGAAGACCAAGGGUUCCUGUCCAACGUUAAUCGGGGCAGGGUGAGUCGACCCCUAAGGCGAGGCCGAAAGGCGUAGUCGAUGGGAAACGGGUUAAUAUUCCCGUACUUGGUGUUACUGCGAAGGGGGGACGGAGAAGGCUAUGUUGGCCGGGCGACGGUUGUCCCGGUUUAAGCGUGUAGGUGUGUGUUCCAGGUAAAUCCGGUUCACUUUAACACUGAGGCGUGACGACGAGGCACUACGGUGCUGAAGCAACAAAUGCCCUGCUUCCAGGAAAAGC
Molecule: ribosomal RNA, 993 nt
Filed under: Salmonella enterica
Lineage: Bacteria; Pseudomonadati; Pseudomonadota; Gammaproteobacteria; Enterobacterales; Enterobacteriaceae
Also listed under: 1 other name
Description: partial 23S ribosomal RNA
Rfam family: Bacterial large subunit ribosomal RNA
Source: RNAcentral